GAGCUGAAACUCAGUGGUAGAGCACAUGUUCUUUAUGCAAAAUGUCCCAGGUUCAAUCCCUGGGAGAGUUCA
Molecule: non-coding RNA, 72 nt
Organism: Podarcis lilfordi (Lilford's wall lizard)
Lineage: Eukaryota; Metazoa; Chordata; Lepidosauria; Squamata; Lacertidae
Source: the annotation of a GenBank genome assembly